GACGUCAAAGCGUAUACAAAGUCGAGUCGGUUUAAGGAUACGUUCGUUGGGUAGGGGAGCGUUCUGUAAGCCUGUGAAGGUGGCCUGUGAGGGUUGCUGGAGGUAUCAGAAGUGCGAAUGCUGACAUAAGUAACGAUAAAGCGGGUGAAAAGCCCGCUCGCCGGAAGACCAAGGGUUCCUGUCCAACGUUAAUCGGGGCAGGGUGAGUCGACCCCUAAGGCGAGGCCGAAAGGCGUAGUCGAUGGGAAACGGGUUAAUAUUCCCGUACUUGGUGUUACUGCGAAGGGGGGACGGAGAAGGCUAUGUUGGCCGGGCGACGGUUGUCCCGGUUUAAGCGUGUAGGCUGGUUUUCCAGGCAAAUCCGGAAAAUCAAGGCUGAGGCGUGAUGACGAGGCACUACGGUGCUGAAGCAACAAAUGCCCUGCUUCCAGGAAAAGCCUCUAAGCAUCAGGUAACAUCAAAUCGUACCCCAAACCGACACAGGUGGUCAGGUAGAGAAUACCAAGGCGCUUGAGAGAACUCGGGUGAAGGAACUAGGCAAAAUGGUGCCGUAACUUCGGGAGAAGGCACGCUGACACGUAGGUGAAGUGAUUUACUCAUGGAGCUGAAGUCAGUCGAAGAUACCAGCUGGCUGCAACUGUUUAUUAAAAACACAGCACUGUGCAAACACGAAAGUGGACGUAUACGGUGUGACGCCUGCCCGGUGCCGGAAGGUUAAUUGAUGGGGUCAGCGCAAGCGAAGCUCCUGAUCGAAGCCCCGGUAAACGGCGGCCGUAACUAUAACGGUCCUAAGGUAGCGAAAUUCCUUGUCGGGUAAGUUCCGACCUGCACGAAUGGCGUAAUGAUGGCCAGGCUGUCUCCACCCGAGACUCAGUGAAAUUGAACUCGCUGUGAAGAUGCAGUGUACCCGCGGCAAGACGGAAAGACCCCGUGAACCUUUACUAUAGCUUGACACUGAACAUUGAGCCUUGAUGUGUAGGAUAGGUGGGAGGCUUUGAAGUGUGGACGCCAGUCUGCAUGGAGCCGACCUUGAAAUACCACCCUUUAAUGUUUGAUGUUCUAACGUGGACCCGUAAUCCGGGUUGCGGACAGUGUCUGGUGGGUAGUUUGACUGGGGCGGUCUCCUCCUAAAGAGUAACGGAGGAGCACGAAGGUUGGCUAAUCCUGGUCGGACAUCAGGAGGUUAGUGCAAUGGCAUAAGCCAGCUUGACUGCGAGCGUGACGGCGCGAGCAGGUGCGAAAGCAGGUCAUAGUGAUCCGGUGGUUCUGAAUGGAAGGGCCAUCGCUCAACGGAUAAAAGGUACUCCGGGGAUAACAGGCUGAUACCGCCCAAGAGUUCAUAUCGACGGCGGUGUUUGGCACCUCGAUGUCGGCUCAUCACAUCCUGGGGCUGAAGUAGGUCCCAAGGGUAUGGCUGUUCGCCAUUUAAAGUGGUACGCGAGCUGGGUUUAGAACGUCGUGAGACAGUUCGGUCCCUAUCUGCCGUGGGCGCUGGAGAACUGAGGGGGGCUGCUCCUAGUACGAGAGGACCGGAGUGGACGCAUCACUGGUGUUCGGGUUGUCAUGCCAAUGGCACUGCCCGGUAGCUAAAUGCGGAAGAGAUAAGUGCUGAAAGCAUCUAAGCACGAAACUUGCCCCGAG
This 1641-nucleotide ribosomal RNA is filed under the name Salmonella enterica subsp. enterica serovar Kentucky. RNAcentral describes it as "partial 23S ribosomal RNA". It matches the Rfam family "Bacterial large subunit ribosomal RNA", at positions 1190 to 2803 of the family's 2925-position model. Lineage: Bacteria; Pseudomonadati; Pseudomonadota; Gammaproteobacteria; Enterobacterales; Enterobacteriaceae. The record is from RNAcentral.